Molecule: transfer RNA, 72 nt
Organism: Lupinus angustifolius (narrow-leaved blue lupine)
Lineage: Eukaryota; Viridiplantae; Streptophyta; Magnoliopsida; Fabales; Fabaceae
Rfam family: tRNA
About the family: Transfer RNA (tRNA) molecules are approximately 80 nucleotides in length. Their secondary structure includes four short double-helical elements and three loops (D, anti-codon, and T loops).
Source: Rfam
GAGUCCAUAGCUCAGUGGUAGAGCAUUUGACUACAGAUCAAGAGGUCACCGGUUUGUACCCAGUUGGGCCUU